This 254-nucleotide unclassified non-coding RNA is filed under the name uncultured Acidimicrobiia bacterium. RNAcentral describes it as "contains 16S-23S intergenic spacer region". It matches the Rfam family "Bacterial small subunit ribosomal RNA", at positions 524 to 776 of the family's 1533-position model. The record is from RNAcentral. Lineage: Bacteria; Bacillati; Actinomycetota; Acidimicrobiia.
UACGUAGGGUGCAAGCGUUGUCCGGAUUUAUUGGGCGUAAAGAGCUCGUAGGCGGCUUAGAAAGUCAGGUGUGAAACCUCCAGGCUCAACCUGGAGACGCCACUUGAUACUUCUAUGGCUUGAGUUCGGUAGGGGUAAGCGGAAUUCCUGGUGUAGCGGUGAAAUGCACAGAUAUCAGGAGGAACACCGAUGGCGAAGGCAGCUUACUGGGCCGAUACUGACGCUGAGGAGCGAAAGCGUGGGGAGCGAACAGG